GGGAGAGUAGCGAAGAGGAUAAACGCAGCUGACUGUAAAUCAGCCCCCUUCGGGUUCGGCGGUUCGAAUCCGUCCUUUCCCACCA
This 85-nucleotide transfer RNA is filed under the name Paenibacillus oralis. RNAcentral describes it as "Paenibacillus sp. KCOM 3021 tRNA-Tyr". It matches the Rfam family "tRNA". Rfam says of the family: Transfer RNA (tRNA) molecules are approximately 80 nucleotides in length. Their secondary structure includes four short double-helical elements and three loops (D, anti-codon, and T loops). Further hydrogen bonds mediate the characteristic L-shaped molecular structure. tRNAs have two regions of fundamental functional importance: the anti-codon, which is responsible for specific mRNA codon recognition, and the 3' end, to which the tRNAs corresponding amino acid is attached (by aminoacyl-tRNA synthetases). tRNAs cope with the degeneracy of the genetic code in two manners: having more than one tRNA (with a specific anti-codon) for a particular amino acid; and 'wobble' base-pairing, i.e. permitting non-standard base-pairing at the 3rd anti-codon position. The record is from RNAcentral. Lineage: Bacteria; Bacillati; Bacillota; Bacilli; Caryophanales; Paenibacillaceae.